RNAcentral lists this ribosomal RNA (440 nucleotides) under uncultured bacterium. RNAcentral describes it as "partial 16S ribosomal RNA". It matches the Rfam family "Bacterial small subunit ribosomal RNA", at positions 338 to 795 of the family's 1533-position model. The record is from RNAcentral.
UCUACGGGAGGCAGCAGUGGGGAAUAUUGCACAAUGGGGGAAACCCUGAUGCAGCGACGCCGCGUGAGUGAAGAAGGAUCUCGGUAUGUCAAGCUCUAUCAGCAGGGAAGAAAAUGACGGUACCUGACUAAGUAGCCACGGCGAAAUACGUGCCAGCAGCCGCGGUAAUAGGAAGGGGGCAAGCGUUAUCCGGAUUUACUGGGUGUAAAGGGAGCGUAGCCGGCGCUGCAAGUCCGGAGUGAAAGCCCAUGGCUUAACCAUGGUACUGCUCUGGAAACUGUGGAGCUUGAGUGCGGGAGGGGCAGGCGGAAUUCGUGGUGUAGCGGUGAAAUGCGUAGAUAUUAGGAGGAACACCGGCGGCGAAGGCAGUCUGCUGGACCGUAACUGACGUUGAGGCUCGAAAGCGUGGGUAGCAAACAGGAUUAGAUACCCUUGUAGUC